Molecule: ribosomal RNA, 253 nt
Filed under: uncultured bacterium
Lineage: Bacteria
Description: partial 16S ribosomal RNA
Rfam family: Bacterial small subunit ribosomal RNA
Source: RNAcentral
GACAGAGGGGGCAAGCGUUGCUCGGAAUCACUGGGCGUAAAGGGCGCGUAGGCGGGAUGACAAGUCGGUCGUGAAAUCCCUGGGCUCAACUCAGGGGGGUCGGCCGAUACUGCCAUUCUUGAGGGAUGCAGAGGAGACUGGAAUUCCCGGUGUAGCGGUGAAAUGUGUAGAGAUCGGGAGGAACACCGGUGGCGAAGGCAGGUCUCUGGGCAUUAACUGACGCUGAGGAGCGAAAGCAUGGGGAGCGAACAGG